UUUAGGAGUGAGAUUUAAAUAAAUAAAAUAAUUGACAAAAUUAUUGUUAGAGAAAUAUAUGGUAACAUAUUGUUAGUAUAAAUUUAAGGUAAGACCAAAAAAUAAUAAGUUAAAUGAAAGGGUCCAAACAACUUUUAUAGGUAGAUUUUUUUUAGACUCCUUCCCUUUUAAUAGUAUUGAUUUUUUUAUGAGCAAUUGCACCUGAUAUACACGGAAAAAAGAUUAAUUCGUCGGCUGGUUAUGUACUGUUUGAGGUUCUAUAUAUUCCAAAAAUAGCCCUAUAUAUAGGUGUUCGUACUCUGUAUCGGCUACGAUAUAGGGAGCUAGAAAUUCAAGAUGUUGCUUUAAUAAUGAAUGUUGUCUACUGUAGCAAGUUAUAGAAUAUAUCGAACACUGCAAACAAUCCAGCUUCUCCAUUAUAUCUCACAUUACUAAAGUAAGAAGAACAUUUUUGCGGAGUCUAUGAAGAACACCUCUCGAUUAAUUACCGGAAGAAGAUUCUUGUAGUUAUGGUUUCCGCACGGCUUGUUGACUGUUCAGAAGAACCUGAAGAACCAGACAUGCAAAAAAUUCCGGAGAUGAUGUUUGCCGCCGGCGAAGAACCAGUUGGGGUUCGAAUUCUUACUUAUCAAUCAUCCACUACUCCACAACGCAUCUUAAAUGCGUUAGACGAAGAGGAGGUUGAUAUUAUUAGGCGAUCUUCAAAUUUGGGAAGUUGAUAGAGAUAGCAGACAAACCCGUAUUUUCCGGAAGAUUUGCGCGAUAUAUGUUAUCAAGGCAGCUGAAGACAAAGAAGAAGCAUGAAACUUGGUUCCGAUUUGCAGGUAAACCGGUAAGGUUUUCUAUUAGAAAAUUUGCGAUUGUGACGGGAUUACCUUGUGGGAAUUUCCCGCAGAAGUCAAAGAUGAAGUUGAAGGCAACAAUAGCGGAGCAACCUUAUUGGCCAUGUUUAUUUGGAAAAGUUGAAGUGGUUACAGUGUCCUCUGUUAUAAAGAUGCUCUACCGCAAAACAGUUAAAGACAGAGACAUCCGUAUUAGAUAUGCAUGCUUGGCGUUGCUUGAAUCAGUUCUUCUUCCAACUAGUCUUAAUAUGAAGAUAUCUAGAGAUCAUGUUGAAGCUAUUAAAGAUCUAGAUGCCUUUUUUUUCGUUUCCUUGGGGACGGGUAGCAUUUGAUAUGCUGAUGGCUAGUAUCAAAGAGAGAGAUGAGAUAGCUUUGUCUCAAAACACUAUCGCAUUAAAAGGAUUUGCUCUUGCAAUACAGCUUGUAAUGGUUGCAGCGGUUCCGGCGUUGACUGAGGUUGUGCAAGAUUCGUGUUCUUCAUCUGAUUCUGAUAGUGAAGAUAUUGAUGGAAGUGGGCGAGAUAUUUUUACAAAGAAACGGACUCUCAAUCCGGCACAUGCACGGAAUUUGGACAAGAGAACUGAUGUAAGUCAUUUUAUCUCCCAAUAUUAGUUGUUUCUUGUCUAUAUAUAGUAGGAACUUGCAAUUGGUCAUAUAUCUUAUAUUAGUUCUUAUUUCAUAUUUGGUUACAAAUUGAUUAAUGUAGCCCUACUGAAUAACAUAUUUUUGUUUGUGUGAAGGUUAUUGUUCAUAGCAUCUUGGUUCAAGAUCCAGAGCGACCUAUUGAUGAGGCCAUUAUAGUUCGGCAUGAUGAAGUUCAUGAUUCAAGAGUUGAUAACUUGGUCGAGGCCAUCAGGCGUAACUAUCAAUUCAAUAAUUCGUGUUUCCUCGGUGGGAUUAGAAAGAUUGAUGUUGUUCAUAUGCGAGAAAAGGUCAAAUCAUCUGCAAAGUGUAAGAGACCAAAGAAGGGUAUUACUACUUCGUCGGAAGCUGAGAACAGUGUCAUCGUUGACCUUGUGCUUGACAAAAUCAAACCUCAGAUUGAUGUACUGGAAUCCAACAUUAAGAUAGGUUCAUCUCGUGUUGAUGCCAUAGAGGGGGGUGUUCGUAAACAAGUUGAGACGUUGUUGGGUAAGUUUAAGGGGGAAAUGCUUUCAUCUCUUAAGGAUAUCGUUUCAGAAGUUUGUAAAGACCACCUUGCUGCGCAUAACGGCCCGGGAAAUGAUCAACCGUCUUCUCCGACAAAUUUAAUCGUUCCCGGAUGUCAUACCAGCCAUGUUGCCGACGCAAAUGCAAAGACAAUCGAAAACGUUCUACGUGACAUUAGUCAAUACUCUACACCUCCCCGCUCGAACCGUAUAUGUGAGGUAUCAAUUAUGUUCACAUAAUUUUUUGGAAAUUUGUAUAACCGUUUAUUUCAUGUCUUAUGAACUAACAACUUAUUUUUAUAACAUUCAGUCCGUUAAUACUACUCCGACGAAGAAACAACAGGUUGAAUCCGACAAUGUAUGUGGAACUCCGGUAAUUCAGUCAGGUGCGCAAUCAGCUAAUAGCGAGAAUCGAUCGAGGCAACAGUCAUUCCAACAAAAGUUGGUAAGAUGUUUGAACUGUUAUCGGAUUGACUUAGUGAUCUAUAUUAUAUGGUAGAAUUGUUUUAAUUUAUUACAUUUAUUGUUCUUCUAAAUCAGACUCCGCAAAAUAACAAAGAUAACAUUGCGGAUGAACCUUCCUUUUCGCGUGGUCUAACUCAGGAUGAACAGAUUCAAGAAGACAUCCCUAUUUUCGGACAAACUUGUCCUGACCAUGUACAGUUGUCUCACACGAAUGUGGAUGACAAUAUAGAAGGAAUUUCAUCGUCACGUAGAAGUAAGAGGCAAAAGACGGUUCCAUCAGGUCUUGUAGAGGAUUACCUUUGUGGGCCUCAUUUAUUGUCAAGGGCUAAGGAAUCUCAGAGGAGCAUAUUUGCGAUACUUGAUAUUUCAGAGUUGGUAAGGAAGUUCACGAAUCUGGAGUCCAAAAUGAAGUCAAAUUUGUAAUUUUUGUUCGUUCUUUGCAUUAACAUCAGUUGGAAAUAUUGAAUAUAUUACUAAAUGUUCUUUGCUUUUGGUUUUUAGUGUGAUCAACGUUUCUGGUUUAGCUGUGUCUAGAAGGGAAAUUCUGCUAAUUUGUGAGAGGCAAUGAAAUUACACUGCCAAGGUUGUUGAUAUUCUUAUUAGAGUUUUACGGUCGGUUAUUUUGGAUCAGUUACCUUCCGAAGGUUCAUAGAGUGCUGAGUUUCUUGAUACCAAGUUUGGUUCUGCUAUAAUGAAGAACUUUCCCAGGUUCCUUAAGAGUAAGAACAAGGAGUCCUACAUAUUUCCAAAAUCAUUGAGUGGUAUUUUCCCAACCAAAGAAGCUCCAAAGGUUAAUCCAAGAAAGUAUUAUUUUCCUUUAAAUGUUGGGAACAAACAUUGGGUUGGUAUUUGUUUUGACGCUGUGUGUGGGACUGUCACCAUCCUAGAUUCAUGCUUGGCAUUGCACAAGCAGAAGGCGUUAGAGAAGAUAAUUACCCCUGUCAUACAAAUGUUACCGUAUCUUGCUAGAUAUGCUUCUCUUGACAUUGAAACUGAUCCGGUUAUUCAGUGUUAUGAUGUUGCUAGGCCAAAAUCAGUCGCCCAGAUUAAGAAUGAAGCCGAUUCUGGUUUGAUGUCUUUGCUCUUUAUGGCGAGGCACGCUUUAUAUGGACCAGAAGCUUGUAAGAAUAUUGGUGAUGAUGUGCUCGUAGAGGAAAGUAAGAGUGCAGCAAUACUGGCGUAUGAGUUCAAGGAAAAGUUAUAGGGUAUGCUUGAUGCUGAAGUGUUUGUUUUUCUAAGUUUCCUUUUUAAUUCUUGUAAUGAGUUGGACUUGUAUAAUUGAGACAACUUGUAUGUAAUAUGUUGCUUGUGUACGUUUUCUUUGGACUUUCAAACUCUGUUAUGUUCUUGAACUAUUUUCAUGUAUUAUAUUUGGCUGUGUUAAAUAAUUUUUUUUAAUACAUUUCAAAUUGUUCUCGAAAAAGCUAUAAUUUAACAUUAUUGUAUAAAUGGGAAGUAAUCCGGUUUUAAUAUUUGGUUUUUUUAGUUCAGUUACCUGAUUAAGCCAUAAGAACAUCCUAUUUAUGUUAUUAGAGGAAAAUAUUCUUAGUUUUGAUGUUGGAAAUACGACAACAAGUGUUGUUGUUGAUGUUUACAAGUAGUGCACGCGUAUAGAAAGUUGUGUGAGUUGUCUUAUCUUUCCUACACAAUUUUCAGCUAUGUGUCGUGUUCUAUGAAGUAUCGAAUAUCAUCAUCAUACCUAUAGUAGAGUAGGCAACUUUGUCCUUCAAUUAUUUUUGUGGAUGAAUUAUUGGUUUAUCUUAUCCAUGGACUUGUUACCACAAUUCGUCUAUAUAUUUCGAUACUUGUUUACAAGUUAUCAUCCAUUUACUUACGGUCAGAAGGGAGCAGUGGAAUAGAUUAAUAUUGUUAAAAAUUUUGGUUUAAAUACUUGUAACAAACUCGGUUUCUAAUUCCUCCUUUUUAUUUUCUAGAUGGCAAUUCCACUGAGUGUAACUUUACAUCACGGUGCAUGGCGUCGUGCCGACGAUGGACAUUGGACUUUCCAUAGGAACCCAAGUGAUCUCGGCUAUACGGUUAUGGUCAAACCAACUGAGACGGUGGAAGAUUUGGAGACCAUUAUCCGUGAACGCUAUAAAUUGAAGCCUGAGACACCCAUGGUACUGGCCUAUCACCUACCUGAAUGGAUGCUUGAACCUGAGGGAACUCGUACACCGCCUAUUACAUUGACAACUACGCCACAAGUUGAAACGAUGAUGCAAAUCCGUUCUUGGUGGUCUGAACUAAAGCUAUGUGUUUCUUCGGGUGCUGAAAAUGUGGCUCAUUACCAGUUUCUUAGUCAAAAUACUUUCACUAUAAGUGGUGCAACCUUUGUAUUCAAAGGUUAGAUAUAUAGAACUUAUAUAUUGAUACUUUCUAUUAGCCAAUAUUAAAAAAGUACAUUUAUUAAAAAAAUCGUUUUCCUAGGUUAUAACGAGAAAGAGCUUCUUGUAAGCAAGGAGGUCCUUGAGGAAUGUUUUAAAGAGGAAGAGAUGGUUCCAAUCUACAGGGUUCAUUUAGAAAUUGAGAAGGCAAAAUCCGAAGAAAGAGGUGCGCAAGGUUUGCCUUCCAUGGCUACAGAAGCUGAAGGUUUAAAACAUUUUAUAUGUUAAUAUUAAUUUGUAAGUUUGGUUUUUUAAUAACUGGCUAACACUAUAUUUGGUUAGGUUCGGGAUCUUUUCCCUCUGGGUCACAAGGGUAGAAGUUGAGGUGGUGAAUGUGUCUGAAACACUUUCGGAAGAAUAAGCAUGCUACUAUGGUUUGCGAAUGAAGUUGUAUUUCCUUUCAUCUUGUUAUCUGAAUAAAUGUUGGUUGUUGUUCUUAAGUUUCUAAAUUCCGUGGUUUCUUUAUUGGUAUGUUUAAAAUUUCUAAUGUAAUGUAUGCUGGAAAUAUUUAUGUAACAUAUUUGAAAAUCGUGUUUACUAAUUGUCAGUUUGGAAUGUAAUAUAUUUUAUGAAACCAGAAUAUGAACUGCAACUCUAUAGUAAACGACUAAUAUAGGACCGUCCUAAAAUAUAGAAUAUCGUUUAAUAUGCAUCAGUUUUGAACGACACUAUUAUUUGAUCACCUAUGAAAUUACUGGUGCAUGUCUAUAGUAUAGGACUCAUUAUGGUAAUAUCAUGUUGUUGUAUUAGUUUAAUUGGAAACCGGAAAACAUACCAUUCUUAUUAAGGUGUAGAACUCUUUUAAACAAUUACCAAUUAUUCACACCAAUAUGAAUAUUUGGGUCGAUAGAUUGGGAAGUUACUUGUUACGAUGAAUACUACACAUUUGUGCUAUGCUAUAAUAUAUAGUUAUUCUCACAUAUCAUAUAAUAUUACAAAGCUCGCUAUAAAACUUAGGCUUUCGUACUAAAUUCCCAUAUACUGGAUAUGAUUCACUAUAUGUCAUUGUCUAUUAGCUAUAAUAGCCGAUGGUUUUCUUAUCUAUAUUUUCAUCUUAUCAACUUGAACGAAACAAAGGGUACGUCAGUUACUAUACAUAGGAGUCUUUAACGACUUAUAUAUUUCAAACUUAGACAUUGGCUUUUAUUUAUUUCAUAAUCUCGGGAACAAGUACAAACCUGCCUCUAACCGAUCAUGGAUACAAAUAUUUUACAAAAGCAUGUUUAACGUUUUUUAGUAUUUCACAAUCCACCAUUCUUAUCAAACACCUUCAUCAUCCGAGAUAAGCCAACUUUAACUUCAUGCACAUUCUUUUUAUAUUGCCACUUUGCAUGUGGCUUUGUUAUGACCCACGCCUUUACAACGGCUACACACAUGUCUCUUCCUUGGAGUCUUCAUCUACGAAAAACAAAUUGUGUAAGACUUUCAUUUUAUUUGAAUAGUUGAAGGUAAGCUGCUUACCCUUAUUUCUCCAGUAGACAAGAUCCGGCUUUUCCGAGGUCUCCCUGGUGGACGACGACUUGUGGGUGGGCAUAUUUGGAUGGACUCACUUUCACCUUCUGUCCCUUCGAUACUUGGAUUGACCUCGCUGCUUAUAGGCAAUAUAUUCCCGGCAUAUGCAGCAACUAGAGUGUCCAUUGUGUAAAAAUUGGAAACCAGCGAUUCAAUACUUGAUUUCUCUUUGAUUGCCGCCGCAAUGGCAUGGGGGCAAGGAAUGAGGAGCGUCUGAAAUGAGAAACAGCUGCAAGAUUUGGUGUGUAGGUUAACAUGGUAAGAUAUUCCGUCUUUGUCGUUUACAUCGAACUCACCAGCGUUAAUCUGGCAAACAAGCAUCCCACCGCUGAUUUCAAAAUUUUCUUCAACAAUACUGGUCACACGUGGAGUUAACAUACGAUUCGGAUGUUGUGUUACAUCACGUCUUUCUGCGUACCAUUUCAUCCGUUUAGAACAGAUGUACUCGACCAAAUGUAGUAUCGGAUACUCUCUUGCAUUUCGAAGAACAGAAUUCCAUGUCUCUGCUACAUUGCUUGUCAUGAGGUUGUACCGAUUUCCGGAGCAAUUAGCACGGGCCCAGUGCUCUAAACCGAUAUCUAGUAGGUAUUCAGCACAUGAAGGAUUGAUGUUCUUAAUUUCAUUGAAGGUUGUGUAAAAUUCGCUGAGUUGAAAGGCCCUGGCUGCCUUGCCCACCAAGUAACCGAGAUGUUUGUUUAUGAAAUAAGUUUGGAUGUUGCGUUUCAGAUGUAAAAUACAAGCGCAAUGCUUUGCUGCUGGAUACACCUUCAACCAUAUACAAUACAAAUUCAUAUUAUUAUUUGUUACCAAUAAACAUGUUUU
Brassica rapa (field mustard) is the source of this 7173-nucleotide long non-coding RNA. RefSeq lists it as uncharacterized. Lineage: Eukaryota; Viridiplantae; Streptophyta; Magnoliopsida; Brassicales; Brassicaceae. The record is from RefSeq and is a predicted model, not a curated record.